RNAcentral lists this ribosomal RNA (492 nucleotides) under uncultured bacterium. RNAcentral describes it as "partial 16S ribosomal RNA". It matches the Rfam family "Bacterial small subunit ribosomal RNA", at positions 29 to 507 of the family's 1533-position model. The record is from RNAcentral.
AGUGAACGCUGGCGGUAGGCCUAACACAUGCAAGUCGAACGGCAGCACAGUAAGAGCUUGCUCUUACGGGUGGCGAGUGGCGGACGGGUGAGGAAUACAUCGGAAUCUACUUUUUCGUGGGGGAUAACGUAGGGAAACUUACGCUAAUACCGCAUACGACCUACGGGUGAAAGCAGGGGAUCUUCGGACCUUGCGCGAUUGAAUGAGCCGAUGUCGGAUUAGCUAGUUGGCGGGGUAAAGGCCCACCAAGGCGGCGAUCCGUAGCUGGUCUGAGAGGAUGAUCAGCCACACUGGAACUGAGACACGGUCCAGACUCCUACGAGAGGCAGCAGUGGGGAAUAUUGGACAAUGGGCGCAAGCCUGAUCCAGCCAUACCGCGUGGGUGAAGAAGGCCUUCGGGUUGUAAAGCCCUUUUGUUGGGAAAGAAAAGCAGCAGGUUAAUACCCCGCCGUUCUGACGGUACCCAAAGAAUAAGCACCGGCUAACUUCGUG